This 494-nucleotide ribosomal RNA is filed under the name uncultured bacterium. RNAcentral's name for it is "partial 16S ribosomal RNA". It matches the Rfam family "Bacterial small subunit ribosomal RNA", at positions 28 to 507 of the family's 1533-position model. The record is from RNAcentral.
GACGAACGCUGGCGGCGUGCUUAACACAUGCAAGUCGAACGGUGAAGCGCCUUCCUUUUUGGUGGGUGUGGAUGAGUGGCGAACGGGUGAGUAACACGUGAGUAACCUGCCCCCUUCUUCUGGAUAACCGCAUGAAAGUGUGGCUAAUACGGGAUUUUCUGGGUCUGUCGCAUGAUGGGUCUGGGAAAGAUAUUGUUUCGGUGGGGGAUGGGCUCGCGGCCUAUCAGCUUGUUGGUGGGGUGAUGGCCUACCAAGGCGGUGACGGGUAGCCGGCCUGAGAGGGUGGACGGCCACACUGGGACUGAGACACGGCCCAGACUCCUACGGGAGGCAGCAGUGGGGAAUAUUGCACAAUGGGCGCAAGCCUGAUGCAGCGACGCCGCGUGAGGGAUGGAGGCCUUCGGGUUGUGAACCUCUUUCGCCAGUGAAGCAGGCCUGCCUCGUUUGUGGGUGGGUUGACGGUAGCUGGAUAAGAAGCGCCGGCUAACUACGUG